UCUUGUACACACCGCCCGUUCACACCAUGAGAGUUUGUAACACCCAAAGUCGGUGGGGUAACCUUUUAGGAGCCAGCCGCCUAAGGUGGGACAGAUGAUUAGGGUGAAGUCGUAACAAGGUAGCCGUAGGAGAACCUGCGGCUGGAUCACCUCCUUCUAAGGAAUAAUCGAUCCACAAUU
Molecule: ribosomal RNA, 180 nt
Filed under: Limosilactobacillus fermentum
Lineage: Bacteria; Bacillati; Bacillota; Bacilli; Lactobacillales; Lactobacillaceae
Description: Lactobacillus fermentum partial 16S ribosomal RNA
Rfam family: Bacterial small subunit ribosomal RNA (bases 1-157)
Source: RNAcentral